This 323-nucleotide ribosomal RNA is filed under the name uncultured eukaryote. RNAcentral's name for it is "partial 18S ribosomal RNA". It matches the Rfam family "Eukaryotic small subunit ribosomal RNA", at positions 1470 to 1796 of the family's 1831-position model. The record is from RNAcentral.
CCCUUAGAUGUUCUGGGCUGCACGCGUGCUACACUGAUAUUGCCAAUAUGUCAUUCUUAUCCGAAAUGGAUUGGGUAAUCAAGUAAUGAAAUUUCAUGCUUGGAAUCGGUAAUUGCAAUUUUAUCGUGAACGAGGAAUUCCUAGUAAGCACUAGUCACCAGCUAAUGUUGAUUAUGUCCCUGCCCUUUGUACACACCGCCCGUCGCUACUACUGAUUGGGUGUUCAAGUGAGAUGCUUAGACCCUUGUUGCAUGGUUCAUUAUUGUGCUCCGAAAGGAAAAAGUUUCAAGCUUGAGUGUCUAGAGGAAGUAAAAGUCGUAACA